Molecule: regulatory RNA element, 65 nt
Organism: Monodelphis domestica (gray short-tailed opossum)
Lineage: Eukaryota; Metazoa; Chordata; Mammalia; Didelphimorphia; Didelphidae
Source: Rfam
UUUAUAUGUUAAAGAAAUAGUUUUUAUGUGCCUUUCUAUAGAUUUCCAAGAGCAAAAGAUAGAUU